GAACAAGAUGGACUUGACCGUCAACUGUCGAACAUAUUGAACUCACUGAAGGAAUCUCAAGAGUAUUACUUCUUUGGACUCUGCCUACAGCUUAUUCGUGGGAACAAGAUGGACUUGACCGUCAACUGUCGAACAUAUUGAACUCACUGAAGGAAUCUCAAGAGUAUUACUUCUUUGGACUCUGCCUACAGCUUAUUCGUGGGAACAAGAUGGACUUGACCGUCAACUGUCGAACAUAUUGAACUCACUGAAGGAAUCUCAAGAGUAUUACUUCUUUGGACUCUGCCUACAGCUUAUUCGUGGGAACAAGAUGGACUUGACCGUCAACUGUCGAACAUAUUGAACUCACUGAAGGAAUCUCAAGAGUAUUACUUCUUUGGACUCUGCCUACAGCUUAUUCGUGGGAACAAGAUGGACUUGACCGUCAACUGUCGAACAUAUUGAACUCACUGAAGGAAUCUCAAGAGUAUUACUUCUUUGGACUCUGCCUACAGCUUAUUCGUGGGAACAAGAUGGACUUGACCGUCAACUGUCGAACAUAUUGAACUCACUGAAGGAAUCUCAAGAGUAUUACUUCUUUGGACUCUGCCUACAGCUUAUUCGUGGGAACAAGAUGGACUUGACCGUCAACUGUCGAACAUAUUGAACUCACUGAAGGGAUCUCAAGAGUAUUACUUCUUUGGAGUAAGAAAGAACUCGACCGAUGACGGUAAAAUUUUCUUCGAAAUCACACAGACGGCAGUACAACUC
Homarus americanus (American lobster) is the source of this 750-nucleotide long non-coding RNA. RefSeq lists it as uncharacterized. The record is from RefSeq and is a predicted model, not a curated record. The transcript has 7 exons. NCBI's taxonomy places the organism in Eukaryota, Metazoa, Arthropoda, Malacostraca, Decapoda, Nephropidae.